Molecule: long non-coding RNA, 592 nt
Organism: Capsicum annuum
Lineage: Eukaryota; Viridiplantae; Streptophyta; Magnoliopsida; Solanales; Solanaceae
Exons: 3
Source: RefSeq, a predicted model, not a curated record
UGAAAUUGAAUUACUUGUGGGAACGGAUUUGAGGGAUGGAAAUGGAACAACUCGUGCAAUAAAUUGGUGUGGUUGUAUUGUCCAAGAUCCUCAUCCAGCAGUACGUGCACUUGGAUUUCUUCCCGAGGAAGGCCAUGGAGUAUAUGUAGCAAGGUGGUGUCACGGAAGUUCAGUACAUCAAUAUGGUCUUUAUGCUCUUCAAUGGAUAGUUGAAGUUAAUGGAAAACCAACUCCCUCUUUGGAUGCUUUUGUUGACGUCACAAAGACGAUAGAGCAUGGAGAGUUUGUCCGGAUACGAACAGUGCACCUGAAUGGGAAGCCCCGAGUACUUACAUUGAAGCAGGAUUUACAGUACUGGCCGACAUGGGAGUUGAGGUUUGAUCUGGAAACUGCUACGUGGAGGUGCAAAACAGUCAAAGCUUUGGACUCUGGUGUUUUGUGAAUCUGCGGAAGAGCACGUUGAAUAUUCACUGGAUUUGAUGCUAGUUAGUCCAACUUGUCGGUUCGCCAUACAACAAUAUAUGCAAAAUCAUUUAAAGCAGGUAUCUGGCUUCAUUGCCUAUUUGUUGUAAAUGACCAUUUAUUUGAUGAA